AUGCGAGUUGCUGCACGUCGUGGGGGUUCAAAUGGCGCGAGCAGCAGCAGGCAGCCGCAGGUAGCGCCGAUUCCGGUGGAUGAUGAUGACGGCAUCGAAGAAGACGAAGAUGAAGAUGAGAACACGCUGAACCAGCAUAGGAAGAAGCCAAAAAGCAAGGCUAAUUGGACCGACGAAAAUACGUACAUUUUGUGUGAGUUAGCUUGUGAGGAGAUAGAGGAUGGCAAUUUUACUGCUAAAGUUUGGACCAGUCAGGGUUACAAAAAUAUUAUGGAGAAAUAUUAUCAAAAGACAAAAUUGUGGCAUCUAGGGAGGGAAGUGAAGAACAAAAUCCAGAACCUGAAGGGUGUGUACAAUGAUUGGGUAUGGUUGCAGCAACAAACCGGAUGCGGCCGCGGCGAACAUGGAGAAGUUACGGCAACUACAGCUUGGUGGGAGAGGGAGAUCAAGAGUAGACCAAAUCUCAAGAAAUUUAGAAAGGGUAACCCUGAGUACAUUGGACUGUUGCAUGAGGUAGCUGUGGAUGGUACUUCUGCUUACGUACCUGGGCGACCAGAGAUCCUGAAUUCAGAGUUGUGCAUGAAAGGUUAA
This 591-nucleotide ribosomal RNA is filed under the name Triticum aestivum (bread wheat). RNAcentral's name for it is "partial small subunit ribosomal RNA". The record is from RNAcentral. Lineage: Eukaryota; Viridiplantae; Streptophyta; Magnoliopsida; Poales; Poaceae.